RNAcentral lists this ribosomal RNA (478 nucleotides) under uncultured bacterium. RNAcentral describes it as "partial 16S ribosomal RNA". It matches the Rfam family "Bacterial small subunit ribosomal RNA", at positions 28 to 523 of the family's 1533-position model. The record is from RNAcentral.
GACGAACGCUGGCGGCGUGCUUAACGCAUGCAAGUCGAACGGUAAGGCCCUUCGGGGUACACGAGUGGCGAACGGGUGAGUAACACGUGGGUGAUCUGCCCUGCACUUCGGGAUAAGCCUGGGAAACUGGGUCUAAUACCGGAUAGGACCACUGCCUGCAUGGGUGGUGGUGGAAAGCUUUUGCGGUGUGGGAUGGGCCCGCGGCCUAUCAGCUUGUUGGUGGGGUGAUGGCCUAACAAGGCGACGACGGGUAGCCGGCCUGAGAGGGUGACCGGCCACACUGGGACUGAGAUCCGGCGCAGACUCCUGCGGGAGGCAGCAGUGGGGAAUAUUGCACGAUGGGCGCGAGCCUGAUGCAGCGACGCCGCGUGAGGGAUGACGGCCUUCGGGUUGUAAACCUCUUUCAGCACCGACGAAGCGCAAGUGACGGUAGGUGCAGAAGAAGGACCGGCCAACUACGUGCCAGCCGCCGCUGUAA